UGGGGAAUCUUGGACAAUGGGGGCAACCCUGACCCAGCGACGCCGCGUGGGUGACGAAGGCCUUCGGGUUGUAAAGCCCUUUCACCGGGGACGAGGGUGACGGUACCCGGGGAAGAAGCACCGGCUAACUCCGUGCCAGCAGCCGCGGUAAGACGGAGGGGGCGAGCGUUGUUCGGAAUCACUGGGCGUAAAGGGCGCGUAGGCGGCGCCGCAAGUCGGGCGUGAAAGCCCGGGGCUCAACCCCGGAGGUGCGCCCGAGACUGCUGCGCUGGAGGCCGGGAGAGGGGGGUGGAAUACCCAGUGGAGAGGUGAAAUUCGUAGAUAUUGGGUGGAACACCGGUGGCGAAAGCGGCCCCCUGGCCCGGGUACCUGACGCUGAGGCGCGAAAGCGUGGGGAGCAAACAGG
This 406-nucleotide ribosomal RNA is filed under the name bacterium. RNAcentral's name for it is "partial 16S ribosomal RNA". It matches the Rfam family "Bacterial small subunit ribosomal RNA", at positions 355 to 776 of the family's 1533-position model. The record is from RNAcentral.